CACGUAGGCACCAAGCGUUGUCCGGAUUUAUUGGGCGUAAAGAGCUCGUAGGCGGUUCGGUUAGUCGGGUGUGAAAACUUUGGGCUCAACCCAAAGCGUGCACUCGAUACUGCCGUGACUAGAGUUCGGUAGGGGAGUGGGGAAUUCCUAGUGUAGCGGUGAAAUGCGCAGAUAUCAGGAGGAACACCGGUGGCGAAGGCGGGUCUCUGGGCCGAUAUUGACGCUGAGGAGCGAAAGCGUGGGGAGCAAACAGG
Molecule: ribosomal RNA, 254 nt
Filed under: uncultured bacterium
Lineage: Bacteria
Description: partial 16S ribosomal RNA
Rfam family: Bacterial small subunit ribosomal RNA
Source: RNAcentral